This 1369-nucleotide ribosomal RNA is filed under the name uncultured bacterium. RNAcentral describes it as "bacterial SSU rRNA". It matches the Rfam family "Bacterial small subunit ribosomal RNA", at positions 28 to 1381 of the family's 1533-position model. The record is from RNAcentral.
GACGAACGCUGGCGGCGUGCCUAAUACAUGCAAGUAGAACGCUGAAGAGAGGAGCUUGCUCUUCUUGGAUGAGUUGCGAACGGGUGAGUAACGCGUAGGUAACCUGCCUUGUAGCGGGGGAUAACUAUUGGAAACGAUAGCUAAUACCGCAUAACAAUGGAUAACACAUGUCGUUUAUUUGAAAGGGGCAAUUGCUCCACUACAAGAUGGACCUGCGUUGUAUUAGCUAGUAGGUGAGGUAAUGGCUCACCUAGGCGACGAUACAUAGCCGACCUGAGAGGGUGAUCGGCCACACUGGGACUGAGACACGGCCCAGACUCCUACGGGAGGCAGCAGUAGGGAAUCUUCGGCAAUGGGGGCAACCCUGACCGAGCAACGCCGCGUGAGUGAAGAAGGUUUUCGGAUCGUAAAGCUCUGUUGUAAGUCAAGAACGGGUGUGAGAGUGGAAAGUUCACACUGUGACGGUAGCUUACCAGAAAGGGACGGCUAACUACGUGCCAGCAGCCGCGGUAAUACGUAGGUCCCGAGCGUUGUCCGGAUUUAUUGGGCGUAAAGCGAGCGCAGGCGGUUUGAUAAGUCUGAAGUUAAAGGCUGUGGCUCAACCAUAGUUCGCUUUGGAAACUGUCAAACUUGAGUGCAGAAGGGGAGAGUGGAAUUCCAUGUGUAGCGGUGAAAUGCGUAGAUAUAUGGAGGAACACCGGUGGCGAAAGCGGCUCUCUGGUCUGUAACUGACGCUGAGGCUCGAAAGCGUGGGGAGCGAACAGGAUUAGAUACCCUGGUAGUCCACGCCGUAAACGAUGAGUGCUAGGUGUUGGAUCCUUUCCGGGAUUCAGUGCCGCAGCUAACGCAUUAAGCACUCCGCCUGGGGAGUACGACCGCAAGGUUGAAACUCAAAGGAAUUGACGGGGGCCCGCACAAGCGGUGGAGCAUGUGGUUUAAUUCGAAGCAACGCGAAGAACCUUACCAGGUCUUGACAUCCCGAUGCUAUUUCUAGAGAUAGAAAGUUACUUCGGUACAUCGGUGACAGGUGGUGCAUGGUUGUCGUCAGCUCGUGUCGUGAGAUGCUGGGUUAAGUCCCGCAACGAGCGCAACCCCUAUUGUUAGUUGCCAUCAUUCAGUUGGGCACUCUAGCGAGACUGCCGGUAAUAAACCGGAGGAAGGUGGGGAUGACGUCAAAUCAUCAUGCCCCUUAUGACCUGGGCUACACACGUGCUACAAUGGUUGGUACAACGAGUUGCGAGUCGGUGACGGCGAGCUAAUCUCUUAAAGCCAAUCUCAGUUCGGAUUGUAGGCUGCAACUCGCCUACAUGAAGUCGGAAUCGCUAGUAAUCGCGGAUCAGCACGCCGCGGUGAAUACGUUCCCGGGCCU